Molecule: transfer RNA, 72 nt
Filed under: Laetiporus sulphureus
Lineage: Eukaryota; Fungi; Basidiomycota; Agaricomycetes; Polyporales; Laetiporaceae
Also listed under: 1 other name
Description: tRNA-Met
Rfam family: tRNA
About the family: Transfer RNA (tRNA) molecules are approximately 80 nucleotides in length.
Source: RNAcentral
AGCGAUUUGGUGUAAAGGUUUGCACGAUAGUCUCAUAAACUAUUAGAUUAGGUUCAACUCCUUAAGUCGCUG